RNAcentral lists this long non-coding RNA (4241 nucleotides) under Triticum aestivum (bread wheat). Its description in RNAcentral is "long non-coding RNA (TAES_LNC001522)". The record is from RNAcentral. Lineage: Eukaryota; Viridiplantae; Streptophyta; Magnoliopsida; Poales; Poaceae.
GGGCUUGGAUCUCGGCGUCGCCUCCCCCGAUACGCCUGCGACGUCGUCGUCGCCUCCCUCCCUUUGAGACCACCACCAGAACUGGUCGACGAUGGCAGUCGCGUCCAUCUCUUCUUUACGGUCCAUCACGCUAAUGAGCAUAGGUGGACUACCCACCACGGCUUCCUCCCCACCAACGGCGAGCGUGGUGUCCCAUCUCUACUAUGCUGGUACAAUACUUUCCUCAUAUCCAUCUUGGUGGAAACCCGAUGUAGGCGAGAUCUUCCUUACCAAGGUUGUUAAUCUUUUCUUCUCUGCUCGAUGAGAACUCAUGGUGCGCGUUGUCCAGUUGUCCGUAUGAAGGCAGAUUUCCCCUUCCACCGAGUUACUACUGAGCGUGUUCCUUGUUUUUUUUCCUUUUCCUACCAAAUUGAUGCAGGUGCUAUUAGUGAAAGGACUGGAGACUGGUUCUUGCGGUGGUUGGUUUGUUUGAGGAAUUCCUAGUGCUUGUGAUUUGUAAAGGGUUUCAGCCAGGUUAGUGUAUAUUUCAUUUUGUUAUCUUAAUAUGCAAGUAUAUGUGCCCACUUCAUUUGCUUGUAUCCAUCCUUUUUAGUACAUGGAUCGGUCUUUAUUUAUUCAGGUUCAGACAUUGCGCAACUGAAGACUGCGUAUACUAGUCGAAGGCACGAGCUAUGCACGUGUUCUUCACUCACUCAUCUGUUUAUUUGAGCAACAUUUAUUUUCAGAUGGGAGUAGUAUGUAUGCCAUUGAGUGUUUAAUCCCGUCCAAAGGAUUGGCAAGUUGCUGCUUCGAAACUUGGUAGAUACAAACGAUUAGUGCUCUAUACAAGCUAGUUGUUUACGGAGUAGAAGGAAGGUUACUCUAGUCAUUGUUGUUUCCCGAUCAUAGCCACAAAAUAUCUUGAAUAGCAUAAUUUCACCAGUGGGCCCAUUUGGAGCUGUCAGGAUUCCAGAAAGGUCCUGUUGUUGUUUUGGCGCUUGCCCGUACAUAGCGAAUCUAAGAAAUGUCAACCAUUAGAUCUCUUGGGCAAGGUACUAAUGAACGGUGGAUAUAUUCAUUUUAUGGAACAAAUCAAUGACUUGUAUUUGCUCUCGAGUCUGCGCGGACUGCUAAUCCAAAUUCAAAAACUUGUUUACUAUAGUAGUAGGGAAAUGUAGCGCUCUAUAAAGUUUUUGGUGCCUCCAUCUGAAAGAGAUAAAUUUAUAGACAUGAGUGUGGAUUUGAUAUUAAAAAUUUCUCUACAAAAGUACCUACUUUCCUGCCCUGAUUUACCAUCUAGCUAAUUGUUUCAUAGGAGUUCAAUAAUGAGGUAACAUUUUCUCUCUCAAAGUUGUGCUUGAAUGUACCAAUGAAGAAGCUCUUCACAACUCUAAUUCUUGGUGCCAAUGGGAAUUCUUCCAUUUACAAUGAUUAAGUUCUCUUUGUGCUAAUUCUUGAUGUUAAAAGAAAACAAACUUUAACUAAUGAACAUGUAGUUGGAAUGAACAAGUACCCUUGUUUAUCUCCAUUGAUUGAUUGAUGUGAGAUCAUUUAGUUCACUCAUCAUCAUGCACGUAUACUUGUACAUGUAAGAAAAGCAAUCAGAUAGAGAAUCUCUUUCUGCCUCUUCUCUGUUUGCUACAAAUAUAGACUGAAAGUGGAGUACUGCUUCUAGAGUUUAAAGAUUUGAGCUUGCAAAAGUGUUUGUUCUCUGAUAUGAAGUUUAUUAUUUAUGUUAUGUGAAAGUUAUUGUCUGAAUGUGAUAUACCCAUAUAUUAUAUAAAGAACAAGUUCAUAUAGGUACCAAAAAUUAUGCUUAAAAUUUCAUGCCAUCUAAUAGAUAAUAGUUUUUGUAUACUUUUCAACUUCGCAAGCAUUGCAGUAACUUUAUUGCCACAAGAAAUUACAUAUUUUGAGAAGCUUCUACAAGAUCUUGAUAUCAUUUGUGUUCUAUACCUUUAUCCUGUGCUUGAGAAGGUGCUUCCCUAAAUUGCACAACUCCGAAAAUUUGUACGUGAUUUGAUUUUCUUCUAGUGGUCACACUUACAUCCUUCAAGGAUCAUCCUUAUUAGUUAUUAUAGUAAAUUUGUCGAUUUAGCAUUGUAAUUGCUAUUUGCACUAUUAGGAGUAUCUCCUGGAAAAAAAAUCUUCUACAGACCAACGCGACUAAUGUAUGUGUGUUGUGUUAGAUAUAGAUUUGGUUAUGAGUUACUGCUUUUGUGGUGAUGGGGAAAUUAAUCAUUCGAGGAUCUUAACAUUGUAGUAUUUUGUGCAAAUUUGUGAAGUUCAACGUCUUAGUGUCAUGGCUCAAGACUAAAUUUUCUUGAGUUAUCACAUCAAAACAUGAAAUGUGAAAAUCAAACUGCUUUUGCUUACUUGAUUCUUUUGAGCGUGCAUAUGAAACAAUGGUUAUCUAUGUUGCUUGCCUAUGCUAUCAGCUACUAUGAUCUAUCUUUCAUACGUAUAUACACAUUAUGCUUGGACAUGUGUUGUUUGUGCGAAAGGAAACAUCUACUCCCUCAGUUCCUCAAUAUAAGUCUUUUUAGUGGUUUCAAAUGGACUACCACAUAUGGAUGUAUAUAGACAUAUUUUAGAGUGUAUAUUCACUCAUUUUGCUCCGUAUGUAGUCACUUGUUGAAAUCACUAGAAAGACCUAUAUUUAGGAACGGAGGGAGUAGUAUUUUGUAAUUCUUGAACUAAGGGUAGUCACUUAUUAAAUAUUUCUCCAUUUAAUUGAGUAAGAACAGUUCUUCAGAAAAUAUUAUCGUUUUCAUCUUCAGACAUCUUGAUAGGAAGCACCAGGGAAUGUUUGCAGUUUCAAUUUAUAUUGUACGUAAAGGAUUGUAGAUAUGCUCUCGGCCAGUGAAAACUUCUAAAUGAUUUAUGCACUAUGGCAGUGCCGCGGUGGAUACUUCUAAAUGACUGCACACAUGUUUUAUUAAGUCUUAUCAGUAUAGGGAGUUCAAUAAUCUUUUGGUGCUAAACAAGUGGAUGGUACAACUAAAUACUACUUCCUCCGUCCCAUAAUGUAGGACAUUUUUUGACACUAUAUGUGUUACAUUAUGGGAUAGAGGGAGUAAAUCAGUAAAACACUGUAGGAGUUUUACAAGCAAGCUUUGGGUAAAAAUAUUUUUGUAUUUUGUUGUUUAUUCCCAUUGGUCGAUCGAUAUGAGAUCAUCGAGUCAACUGUCAUCAUGCACAUAUAUUGUUACAUGGAAGAAAAAUAACUAGCUAGAGAACUUAUUUAUGUCUCCUUUCAUUUUGCUGCUAAGACAGACUGAAAGUGGAGUACUCUUCUAGAGUUUAAUUGUUAUUACAUGCUGCUUUUAUAAGGUUGGGGUCUUCAAUCUAGUUUUUACUUGAUAAGUUACCUUUUCUUAAGAAUAACAUGAAGCAUGGAUUCUUAUAUGUUCCAUGUAUAAUGUCAGGGCAAGUAAUUAUCAGCUGAGCAAAGGCUACAACAUGCUAGGAGGAGAAGUUUGAAUGGAGGCAGAGAGUACACUUGGUAAGUCAUAUAUCCAACCUGAACUUAUUUACUCAUUUAUUAUUUUUGUUCUAGUCUGAGUCCAAAAAUAUGGUUUGACAAACGGGGGUGACAUUCUGUACACACGUGCGCAUCUACCAUUCAUGCUUGUGAAAGCAUAUAAAAAAUUGAAUAUGGCCAAAUUUGGGUUCCAAGUUUUGCCAUGCUAUCAUGACAUUGUAUUAGUUUGCCCCCUUCAACAUGUAAAACUAUGAACCUGACCAUAUUUUAUUUGGAACAUUUAGAUGAUGUGUCAGAAGAAAAACAAAAGUCAACAAUGAGAAAGAAAACAAACGGCAAUCUACUUACAUCUGACGUGUAAAUUCUAAUGUGCCAAAAAUUUCUCUUUUCAGGAAAUAGAAUGGAAAAAGGAAGACGAGACUGAAGCACAAGAGCGAGAGGCUAGCGGAAGUUAAAGCAAUAAACUAUAAGCAUUUUGAAUGAUUAGGGCCUCGCGUUGUUGGGAACAUUACAGCCAUGGGGAAAGCUAUUUUUUGUUGCUACUUUAGCAUAGAAGCAACUAUAUGCUCAUUUUGCCCAUGCGUCGCAUCCAAAACAUAUGCAAUUUUCCGUUUGUUGCACAACACCCUUAUAUAUGGGCGUUUCUAGAAACCUAUGUAUUUGGUUGUUAAUUUUAUUGAAUGAAGUUAAGUUUUACUAUGAGGCCCAUAUGUGAAUUAUGAAAUUGUGUCAUUUGUUUUGAGUGCCUGGACAAAAUGAAUGCAUAUUAAAUUAGCGA